This is a long non-coding RNA of Aegilops tauschii subsp. strangulata, 847 nucleotides long. RefSeq lists it as uncharacterized. The record is from RefSeq and is a predicted model, not a curated record. NCBI's taxonomy places the organism in Eukaryota, Viridiplantae, Streptophyta, Magnoliopsida, Poales, Poaceae.
GCACGUUUAUUUUGUUGCCAUGUCACGUAAGAGUAUAAUAUACUUAUGAUAUAUCCGAGAGUGUAUAUAAAGACUAGAUUUUGUAGUAUGUUAAGGUGAUCAAAGUUUCUCUGUGUUACCUUUAUACAUGACAACAGAUUAUAAUGCUGCCAAAUUUAUGUGGGCUAUAACCAAACAAAACACUGUAAUUUCUUUCUGACAACAGUUUAGCUGGUGAAUUUUAUACAGAUUGUAAUAAUAUAAAACUGAUGUGGGCUUUAACCAAACCACAUACAAUAUUAUUUUUUCUGUCCGCACAUUAACUGGUCAUUUUUAUACAGAUUAUAAUAUUGUCAAAUCGACGUGGGCUAUAACCAAACAUCACUGUGAUUUUUUUCUUUCAGCAAACAGCCAAUGAUCUUUUGCAAGUGAAAAGAAUACAUAUUUAUAAGGCGCAAUCAAUGUGGGACCAAUACAAGGAUUUAGAGGACAAAACUAAUUAUAUGGACAGAUUAUAACAGGUUUUAUAUCGGAAAUAAUCUUGAAACGUGCAAGGGAAAUCUUCACAUUUUUCUAGAAGUCAUUUCCAUAAAAGCUGCGAAAGCCGUCAAGCUGAUGUACCAAACUAGCUAUAGAAUUUUUAGAUAGAUUUCCACUGAGAAUUUCCAUUUUUUUUCUCAAAUUGGUUUCAACUUUUAGAUAGUUAGAAUUAGAAUUAGAAGUUUAUUUUCUAGUGACAUACACAUUAUUGUAUGAACGUGCAGUUCACUGGUAAAGUAUCAAUACCCUUUGUAAUAAAAAUAGUUGUAAUGGCUUGCACAUUGCUACUUGUUUUGCUGUGUUGAUUAUGAGAAACCUUUUCAGUUAA